UAAAAUUUUCUGUGUGGCCACGCUUGUU
This 28-nucleotide non-coding RNA is filed under the name Mus musculus (house mouse). The record is from RNAcentral. Lineage: Eukaryota; Metazoa; Chordata; Mammalia; Rodentia; Muridae.